Molecule: ribosomal RNA, 788 nt
Filed under: Halomonas caseinilytica
Lineage: Bacteria; Pseudomonadati; Pseudomonadota; Gammaproteobacteria; Oceanospirillales; Halomonadaceae
Description: bacterial SSU rRNA
Rfam family: Bacterial small subunit ribosomal RNA
Source: RNAcentral
ACACAUGCCAGUCGAGCGGAAACGAUCCUAGCUUGCUAGGAGGCGUCGAGCGGCGGACGGGUGAGUAAUGCAUAGGAAUCUGCCCGGUAGUGGGGGAUAACCUGAGGAAACUCAGGCUAAUACCGCAUACGUCCUACGGGAGAAAGCAGGGGCUCUUCGGACCUUGCGCUAUCGGAUGAGCUUAUGUCGGAUUAGCUGGUUGGUGAGGUAACGGCUCACCAAGGCGACGAUCCGUAGCUGGUCUGAGAGGAUGAUCAGCCACAUCGGGACUGAGACACGGCCCGAACUCCUACGGGAGGCAGCAGUGGGGAAUAUUGGACAAUGGGGGCAACCCUGAUCCAGCCAUGCCGCGUGUGUGAAGAAGGCCCUCGGGUUGUAAAGCACUUUCAGUGAGGAAGAAGGCUUGUCGGUUAAUACCCGGCAAGAAAGACAUCACUCACAGAAGAAGCACCGGCUAACUCCGUGCCAGCAGCCGCGGUAAUACGGAGGGUGCGAGCGUUAAUCGGAAUUACUGGGCGUAAAGCGUGCGUAGGCGGCUUGAUAAGCCGGUUGUGAAAGCCCCGGGCUCAACCUGGGAACGGCAUCCGGAACUGUCAGGCUAGAGUGCAGGAGAGGAAGGUAGAAUUCCCGGUGUAGCGGUGAAAUGCGUAGAGAUCGGGAGGAAUACCAGUGGCGAAGGCGGCCUUCUGGACUGACACUGACGCUGAGGUACGAAAGCGUGGGUAGCAAACAGGAUUAGAUACCCUGGUAGUCCACGCCGUAAACGAUGUCUACUAGCCGUUGGGGUC